Molecule: long non-coding RNA, 465 nt
Organism: Raphanus sativus (radish)
Lineage: Eukaryota; Viridiplantae; Streptophyta; Magnoliopsida; Brassicales; Brassicaceae
Exons: 3
Source: RefSeq, a predicted model, not a curated record
AUACUAUGUGGGGAUCGAUAGAGGUGGGUGUUCAAGUUGGGAAGUGUUGGGAUUGUGAAGGUAGUGUACUAUCAUGCAAACCUCUGCUCUUGUUUGCAUCUUACUGGUGGCAACCACUUUGUGAUACCUGUUACGGGACUUCCUUAUGAGUUUACUGAGGUUGAGUCCAAGUAUGUGUAUUUAAUUAAGUUUUGGGGAAGCAGCGAUGAAAUCAUGUGUAUUAAGUUCAAGAUGCCUACUUCGGCUACCACAUUGAAUGGGACAACAAGUGUUCAAAACCUUGAACUGGCAGAGGAAGCUGAACACAAAGAACCAGCUAUCGUUUGAAAAAGUCUCGUUGUUUAUUUUGUUUUCAUUCAGCAAAUAAUUGAGUCAUACUCCGUUGCCUCUAGUGAAGGAGUAGAGUAACUCACUUUCUUUUUCAACUUUGUUGCUUCCACGUUUCAAGGGGUUCAGGUUCCUACA